GAUGAACGCUGGCGGCGUGCCUAAUACAUGCAAGUCGAGCGAACGGACGAGAAGCUUGCUUCUCUGAUGUUAGCGGCGGACGGGUGAGUAACACGUGGAUAACCUACCUAUAAGACUGGGAUAACUUCGGGAAACCGUAGCUAAUACCGGAUAAUAUUUUGAACCGCAUGGUUCAAAAGUGAAAGACGGUCUUGCUGUCACUUAUAGAUGGAUCCGCGCUGCAUUAGCUAGUUGGUAAGGUAACGGCUUACCAAGGCAACGAUGCAUAGCCGACCUGAGAGGGUGAUCGGCCACACGGAACUGAGACACGGUCCAGACUCCUACGGGAGGCAGCAGUAGGGAAUCUUCCGCAAUGGGCGAAAGCCUGACGGAGCAACGCCGCGUGAGUGAUGAAGGUCUUCGGAUCGUAAAACUCUGUUAUUAGGGAAGAACAUAUGUGUAAGUAACUGUGCACAUCUUGACGGUACCUAAUCAGAAAGCCACGGCUAACUACGUG
RNAcentral lists this ribosomal RNA (496 nucleotides) under uncultured bacterium. RNAcentral describes it as "partial 16S ribosomal RNA". It matches the Rfam family "Bacterial small subunit ribosomal RNA", at positions 28 to 507 of the family's 1533-position model. The record is from RNAcentral.